CCUACGGGAGGCAGCAGUGGGGAAUUUUGCGCAAUGCUCGUAAGAGUGACGCAGCGACGCCGCGUGAAUGACGAAGGCUUUCUGGUUGUUAAGUUCCUUCUAUAGGGAAGUAAAUGUAUAUAAGUAACUGUGUAUGCAUUUACGGUACCUGUAUAAGUAGCCUAGGUUAAUUCCGUGACAGCAGCUGCGGUAAUACGGAGGGGGUGAGCGUUGUUUGGUGUGACUGGGUGUAAAGAGCUCGUAGGUGGUGUUAUAAGUCAUUAGUCAAAGACUAGAGCUCAACUUUAGAAAGGCUAGUGAUACUGUAAAACUAGAGUAUCAGUGAGGAAUGCAGAAUGCCUGGUGUAGCGGUGAAAUGCGUAGAUAUCAGGAAGAAUACCGAUAGCGAAGGCGGCAAUCUAACUGAAAACUGACGCUGAGGUGCGAAAGCGUGGGGAGCAAACAGGAUUAGAUACCCCUGUAGUC
RNAcentral lists this ribosomal RNA (465 nucleotides) under uncultured bacterium. Its description in RNAcentral is "partial 16S ribosomal RNA". It matches the Rfam family "Bacterial small subunit ribosomal RNA", at positions 338 to 795 of the family's 1533-position model. The record is from RNAcentral.